RNAcentral lists this ribosomal RNA (481 nucleotides) under uncultured bacterium. Its description in RNAcentral is "bacterial SSU rRNA". It matches the Rfam family "Bacterial small subunit ribosomal RNA", at positions 28 to 507 of the family's 1533-position model. The record is from RNAcentral.
GACGAACGCUGGCGGCAUGCCUAACACAUGCAAGUCGAACGGAACUUGUUGAAUGAAGUUUUCGGAUGGAUUUUGACAAGUUUAGUGGCGGACGGGUGAGUAACGCGUGAGCAACCUGCCUUUCAGAGGGGGACAACAGUUGGAAACGACUGCUAAUACCGCAUAACGUAUUUCGGAGGCAUCUCUGAGAUACCAAAGAUUAUAUCGCUGAAAGAUGGGCUCGCGUACGAUUAGAUAGUUGGUGGGGUAACGGCCUACCAAGUCGACGAUCAGUAGCCGACCUGAGAGGGUGAUCGGCCACAUUGGGACUGAGACACGGCCCAAACUCCUACGGGAGGCAGCAGUGGGGAAUAUUGGGCAAUGGGGGAAACCCUGACCCAGCAACGCCGCGUGGAGGAAGAAGGUUUUCGGAUCGUAAACUCCUGUCCUCAGGGAAGAGCAGAAGACGGUACCUGAGGAGGAAGCCCCGGCUAACUACGUG